This 3204-nucleotide long non-coding RNA is filed under the name Rhipicephalus microplus (southern cattle tick). RNAcentral describes it as "uncharacterized LOC119172721". Lineage: Eukaryota; Metazoa; Arthropoda; Arachnida; Ixodida; Ixodidae. The record is from RNAcentral.
UAUACGCUAGCCGACGACGGGAAGUCUGAAAGUGCCGGCGCGUGCUAUCUCGUCGCUCGCCUGUAUCGACGGCAGGUGAGAAAUGCAUUUCCUAUGCUGUAUCAUCGACACGGAGUCAUGACGAAGACCUCCCGGCGGAAGCCAAGAGCUACGCUGUAAUCCACCCUCUUCUUUCUGACGUGUUCACCCGCGCAUUUUCCUGUUCCCACCAUGCAAUAUCUCGGAAACAGCUGGUACUCACGUUCAUACGUUGUGUGGCGUGUACGCGCGUGCGAGUGACUCUCCGUGCCAUCUUGGCGUCAUCGGUGUUGGUUUGUUGGAACGAAAGUAAGUGGUGCUUUCCUCGGUACUCUUAGACGGAGAAGGAGAAAACCCAAAGGUGACCUUCUUCCGAUCUUCGUAUUGUGGUGCUACCCAGGAAAAAUGGCCUGAUCUGGUGUAGAAUGUAUCGUCGUAUAUAAAAAAAAAAAGAAUACGUGAUGCGUACUGCUGUACGACUCGUCAGCUUCUGACGUGAUCGCGUGCGUGCUUUCCUUUUGUCGUGCGUACCUUUUCACGCACGAUUCCUCGUCGUUUCAAGGAAGACUUCAUCAUCUCUUACUUAGGCGCUCAACGGUGCAAUUGUCGUUGUCACGAGUGAAAAAAAAAGCUAUGGCCAUUACUCGUCAUCAGAAGAGGAUGCAUAAAGAAGAGUGCGAUGUGAACGUGGAAAUAGUUCAUCUCACUUUUUGACUCUUUUCCCGCAAAGAGAUCGCGCACAUCGCAACGUUGCUUUUCACACAGCGUUGACUCUGCUGCCCGCAAACGAGAACGUUCAUUACCACGCCUGUCCAGUGCCUACUACGCCUCUCUUUGAUGGCAAUGCAGUGCGCGUGUAUCAGAACACGUCCGCUCACGCGUCAAUACAACCCCUUGCUCUUGCAGCACACCUCGGCUCGAAUGAACGUGAAGGAUUCGGCGUUUUGCUCCACGAUUCAAAAAAUAAGGUAAAGAAAGUGGGUGGAGAGAAACGAGGCGGCACGUCGGCCUUAGAGACGCGGAACCCAGAGGCACGAAAUAUACACAACCAAAGCCGUGCGCUUUGUUGCCGACAAGGCCAAUCAGGCCGCAGAUCAGAUGACGUCUUCAACGGUACGCACGUGUCCCCAAACAAGCCGUGUCUCGCCGGAUGAAAAAGAGAAAGCUUGUUGAGACGUCCAUCGGCUUCGAGCUGACAAGGGAGAGUGAGACUGGCCUCUUGUUGACAACAGUGGUGCGCUGUCCGGCAUAUGUUGUGUCCUGGUUUUCUGGUAUCUUUUACAUGGUUGGACUGAACCGCGACAGGUGGUAGUGAUCUAGAUGGUGAAGGGAUACGGACUGCACUUGAAUUAAAGGCAGACUUGCCGGGAAGCGAAAUACCAGCGCCUGUGCGAUAAACGAUGAAGCGUGCUGAAGAACAUACAUGAAAACGGCCCGAAAGACGUACCCACGACAUAGCCCGUUGGUUGUACGACGUCGUCAAGCACCAAAAUUGCCGAUGGUCAAUGAAGUACUAAAUAAAUAAAAACCAAACGGCAUACCUCACGGAAUGGUGAGUGUCAAAACAUGAAGGACCGGUGAACGGCCGGGCGAUCGUAAUUUUUUUUUUGCUUCGCUUUGCUGGCGCCGGCACGAGAAUACUGCGAUUGCCGAACCAUUGCUUUUUCCGCUUUUGUUAUAUCCGAACACUGACUCGUAAAGUACGACACUCCAUCAUCGUUCGCCCGGCCUACGAAAAAAACAAAAUUGAAAUACCGCAUUAUUGAAAGCGAAAUGUGGUAUCUAUCAAACUAAACGUGAAAGCACGUUGUGUGCGCAAGUGUACACUUCGAUUUCGCGCUUGGACGACCCCGAAACUUGAUGGAUAAAGGACAAAUUUAUCCGUAGAGGUCAUCAGCGCCAAAUAACAGCGGUGCGUUUUAUUUCGUUCGCGCACCAUUGAGCAACGGAAACUCUGCGUGCGGCGGACAGUUUUAUUAUUUAGCAGAGCCUUUGAGCGGUGACAAGAACAGCGGCGAUGACAUUGGUGUUGUAAAGAAAGACGUCAGCGUCAAGUAUGCAGCGCGGCUAGCAAUCUUCUUCCCAACACUGAGUGAAGGUCGGAGCUGAGGCGUCGAGAAAGGGAAGGAAACGAGUAGACAAUCCGGAAUUUCUUUCUGAUUCUUUCGCGCCGGUGCGGUGAGCGAAAAAAAAUUGCUGUUUACGUUUUCUCGAAGGAGAGUGAGAGAUUGAAGCAGCGAAGGAGGAGGGCUCGGCCAGCAGCUGUAAGCAGCCUAAGAUUCUUGCGUCGGCUUCGCGCGUGGACACACUCAGUCACCAGCUGACGAAACCACGGGGAGCUUCCGCACGAGCGCUUGUUGUGGAACAUAGCCGAGUGAAUCAGAGGACAGGGCCAGUGCGCGCUGACCUUGCUGGUACACGUUGUGGUGGCGUUGUUAUUGCUGGUGGAUUGCGGUGCUUGAUGGUUUGUGUGUUUUCGUGUCUCGUUGUUUGGCUUUGUGCGCUUCGUCUACAAAGCGUUUCGGUGUACCGAAGAUUUUUGUGAAACGCCGCGUCGUGUUAGCGGUAAGAACUGAGCUUGGCUCGGGCGCGCAAGGACGGCUGGGUCGUCGACUGAAUGUCCUUACCAUCGUGACAAGAGGUCUUGGUCGACGAGGGUGUACUCGCCUUGAGAAGCCCCGCUGCGGACGAAGGGCCGAGUUGCUUGCGCCAGUCCUGGGGGUCAUUCGGCCAACGACGAGUGAGACCACCCAAGAUAGGCGAUUUGCCGCGGCCUCCGUGCGUUGAAGACUGCGGUGAUGACGAACCCCUCCGUGGCAAGGUACAAGCGGCCGCGACAAGCGGCUCGCCACCCCGCUGUUGCGAGGAGCUGUUCGAGGGACUGAGCCUGGGCCACCUGAGCAACAGCGGAGUUGGCGCUGCCCUAGAGAGCUUCACCCACCGCGCAGCUCAGGCACCGAUACCCGUGGGAAGGAGCGGGCGAGGACCCCGUGCGAGAGGCGACCGUCGCCGCCGCUGUCAUGCCUGCACAGAGGCAGCCUCGCUUCUCCACAACCUCGUCUUCGUCGGCCGCCUCGACGCCAGAUGAAAUCAGCAGCGGCGCCGCUUCGUCCUUGUCGGCAGCCGAGGACUUUGAAAGGCUGUCGCUGUCGCCAUGCCGGCGUGUGUCGAGCCCGUUCCUGACGG